RNAcentral lists this ribosomal RNA (497 nucleotides) under uncultured bacterium. Its description in RNAcentral is "partial 16S ribosomal RNA". It matches the Rfam family "Bacterial small subunit ribosomal RNA", at positions 28 to 507 of the family's 1533-position model. The record is from RNAcentral.
GAUGAACGCUGGCGGCGUGCCUAAUACAUGCAAGUCGAGCGAACGGACGAGAAGCUUGCUUUUCUGAUGUUAGCGGCGGACGGGUGAGUAACACGUGGAUAACCUACCUAUAAGACUGGGAUAACUUCGGGAAACCGGAGCUAAUACCGGAUAAUAUUUUGAACCGCAUGGUUCAAAAGUGAAAGACGGUCUUGCUGUCACUUAUAGAUGGAUCCGCGCUGCAUUAGCUAGUUGGUAAGGUAACGGCUUACCAGGGCAACGAUGCAUAGCCGACCUGAGAGGGGGGUCGGCCACACGGGAACUGAGACACGGUCCAGACUCCUAGGGGAGGCAGAAGAAGGGAAUCUUCCGCAAGGGGAGAAGGCCUGACGGAGCAACGCGGCGGGAGUGAUGAAGGUUUUCGGAUCGUAAAACUGUUUUAUUGGGGAAGAAAAUAUGUGAAAGAAUCUGUGCACUGCUGGACGGUACCAAAUCAGAAAGCCACGGCUAACUACGUG